Neolamprologus brichardi is the source of this 1196-nucleotide non-coding RNA. The record is from RefSeq and is a predicted model, not a curated record. Lineage: Eukaryota; Metazoa; Chordata; Actinopteri; Cichliformes; Cichlidae.
AUGCAGGGGAGUCAGAGACCACAAUUCAUCUGUGGACUGCGAUACAUAACAAUAGGGCUUACUUUGUUUUUCCUUUACUUUAUAUUUAUUUGUCAAGGGAUGGUUGGUUCAGGUGUCUUUGGCUGUCCCAGACAGCCUUUUAUCUCCCUCUACAUGUCCCUGUAUGGGAUCAUACCGGUCUUCUUGGCACUGAGCUUAUGGUGUAACUGGUGCAACAGUGUCUGUUGGUCUGUAACCACCAUCUUCUUCUGUUGCUGGUUUAUUGCUGGUAGCAUUGUCAUCUACUCCAUUUAUGAACCCAAGUACGACAAGACUACAGCGCAGCCUGAUCUCUACUGCAACAAGACGCUCUACCUGUUCGCAUUUUGGUUCACCAACAUGACAUACAUACUGUUAGCACUGCUCUUUUUAUCCUAUUGCUGUUGUAGACGACGAGGUGAUGGUGAUAAUGAGACUCAAACACUUGUGCGGUAAUAAAUACAGAUGAAGCAAACUUAAUUGAAAAGAUAAUCAUACACUGUAAGUUAAAUGAGGGCAAAUUGUGCAUUUAAAGGCAGUUUUCCUGUGUUUCUUAUGUAGAUAUAAUCAAAUGUUCUAAUGAGCAAUGUACAUGUUUGAUCUUUUAUCAGAGAAGAAUGACAAUUUAUAUUUUAAGUAAUUAAUGUUGGAGGUUUACUCUUUUUAAAUACUUUUGCAGCAGUACUCUGUUACGUAAUGACAUCCUUAGAUAUGAAUAAUAUCCUUUUUUUCCUUCCCAUUGAUUCUCUAAUAGGUCAGUUUUAUGAGCUUGUGUGAGGCUGAAUACUGAGGAAACAUCGAAAUACUUAGAGAAUAUAUCUGUUGAUCCAGUAACAAAAUCAGAGAAAGCACAGAGUCUUGAGUGAAAUGAUCAUUAAUCAUAAGUAAUACAUGUACAUAAAAAUGUCAAGUCAAAGUGUACUGUGCCUUUACAUUUUUCCAGGAAGAUCAGAAAUAGGUCCACGGAUUUAUUAAAAUGUACAAACAUACAAGGAAACAGACAGUAUCCAAGGCAAGAACGUUUUUAUAGUUUUAACAAGCCUGAAGGUCAAUAUUUGGUAUGAUAACCUUUAUUCCUCAACACGGGCUUUCUUUAAGUAGUCUUCAGGAAUAGUUCUCCAGGCUUCUUCAAGGACAUUCAAAGCUGCCCUUUGUUCUUUUUUUCUGUCAAGAUGAUU